Molecule: transfer RNA, 86 nt
Filed under: Xenopus tropicalis (tropical clawed frog)
Lineage: Eukaryota; Metazoa; Chordata; Amphibia; Anura; Pipidae
Description: Xenopus (Silurana) tropicalis (western clawed frog) tRNA
Rfam family: tRNA
About the family: Transfer RNA (tRNA) molecules are approximately 80 nucleotides in length. Their secondary structure includes four short double-helical elements and three loops (D, anti-codon, and T loops). Further hydrogen bonds mediate the characteristic L-shaped molecular structure. tRNAs have two regions of fundamental functional importance: the anti-codon, which is responsible for specific mRNA codon recognition, and the 3' end, to which the tRNAs corresponding amino acid is attached (by aminoacyl-tRNA synthetases). tRNAs cope with the degeneracy of the genetic code in two manners: having more than one tRNA (with a specific anti-codon) for a particular amino acid; and 'wobble' base-pairing, i.e. permitting non-standard base-pairing at the 3rd anti-codon position.
Source: Rfam by way of RNAcentral
GGCUCUGUGGCGCAAUGGAUAGCGCAUUAGACUUCUAGAUAAAGAAAAGUAUUUAAAGGUUGUGGGUUCAAGUCCCACCAGAGUCA